Long non-coding RNA from Solenopsis invicta (red fire ant), 1483 nucleotides. RefSeq lists it as uncharacterized. NCBI's taxonomy places the organism in Eukaryota, Metazoa, Arthropoda, Insecta, Hymenoptera, Formicidae. The record is from RefSeq and is a predicted model, not a curated record. The transcript is spliced from 8 exons.
UAUUGUUGCAUAUAAAAAAUUUUAUUUCUAAAGGUUAUUUUCUGUAAAAGUAGUGUUUUUAAUUUUUAUUUUUUGUUGAUGCAAACCCUGUUAAUGAAAAAAUUAUGUUUUUGUAGAUCGUAAAAGAGAUGGAUUGUGACAUACCAGGGACGUCAAAAAACUGGUGUUAUGCGGUUGUUUAUGAGUUUCUCAUAGACGCCACAUAUUCAGAAAUUCCAAUUACAUGGCUUAUAUUAGGUUCCGAUAAUCGGGAUACCGAUAAUCGGCGGUACUGGUGGCCGCCUAGAACAGCUAACUGUCCACUGAUGAUUGCAAACUGUGGCAGUCCUGAUUUUAAAACAUGGGAUUGCUACGAUGUGAAGAUAAAAUAUUAUAAAAUAUUGCAAGUCUCUUCGAUCAGCACGGAAACAUGCAUCAGAUGCCACUUACAAGACGACUGACGAGGAACAGUUAGGCCGAGGACAAAGGCAACAUUCUCCAUAUAAUCGCUUUGGCAGCGAUGAGGAACAGGAUCAUAGCAAACGAAAAUAUAUGAAAAAAAAACAAUGCGAGACUGUUGUUUCAAAGCUACCAUCAUGCCCUGAGAACCUCGAAUUAUAUAAAUACGAAAGAACAAUCAAAGGAACAAACAAUGGACACGAAGGUGCAACGUCACUACAAGAAAAACGAAACAAAACGAUCACUACCGUUUCUAUGGUUUCACCAUCAUGUUCUGAUAAUCUUGAAUCAGGCGACAGUGAAGAAGUAACUAAUGGACAAAAAAAAGACGUUUCAAUCUUUAAGGAACAAUGAGAAGAUAUACCCGUAAUAACACAAGGGGAUCUUUUGUUACUUACUGCACAGCAGAAUGAAGAACAUUUUAACAUAACAAGCAGCCUACAGCAACUAUUACGAAUGCAAGCAAAAACAAACUUUGAAGAAUCAACAACUGCUAGCCGUGAAAAAUGCUAUCAAAGGUCAUGCAUUAAAUGUGGAGAAUGAAGAUAAUUUGAUUUCACCAUUUUUACCAUUGGCUAAAAUAGAAGAUAUUAAAGAGAUGGAUUCAAUUUUGAAAACUUCAAGCGAAGCAGUCACACAGUUUAUAAGUUUUAUAUAUUCAUAUUUUUAUCUUAAAACGAUGUAUUGAAAUAUUCGUAAUUACAUAAUAUCAAUAUUAAAGACAUUAAUUUAUUAAUAAUAAUAAUAAUGUAAUAUCAAUAUCAUAUUAUAAUAUAUAAAAAUACAUUUUUUUAUAAAAACUAUAUCAAAAAUUGGAGGAAACAACCUUAGGGACAGUAUUCAUCGCACUUUACAAAAGAUUUUUACCAAUGAGUGUGGCAUGCAGUGUUCGGAAAGGUAUACGGAACAACUUCCGUUUACAUGAUUUAAAUAUCAUGACAAUUAUUAGAAAACAGAUUAUCUUGCAACAUGCAGUGCUUACGGAGUUUCAAUUUGAUGCUGUAGCGGUUGAAUGAUUUUGCUUCGCAAAACAGAAGAAAAACAG